This 368-nucleotide ribosomal RNA is filed under the name uncultured phototrophic eukaryote. RNAcentral's name for it is "SSU rRNA". It matches the Rfam family "Bacterial small subunit ribosomal RNA", at positions 524 to 896 of the family's 1533-position model. The record is from RNAcentral.
UACGGGGGAUGCAAGCGUUAUCCGGAAUCAUUGGGCGUAAAGCGCCUGUAGGUUGUUUAAUAAGUCUGUUGUUAAAGACUAGGGCUCAACCCUAGAAAAGCAAUGGAAACUAUUAGACUAGAGUAUGGCAGGGGUAGAGGGAAUUUCUAGUGUAGCGGUGAAAUGCGUAGAUAUUAGAAAGAACACCAGCGGCGAAAGCGCUCUACUGGACCAUUACUGACACUCAGAGGCGAAAGCUAGGGUAGCAAAAGGGAUUAGAUACCCCUGUAGUCCUAGCCGUAAACGAUGGAUACUAGAUGUUGUGCUUCCGUACAGUAUCGUAGCUAACGCGUUAAGUGUUCCGCCUGGGGAGUACGCACGCAAGUGUG